Molecule: long non-coding RNA, 901 nt
Filed under: Homo sapiens (human)
Lineage: Eukaryota; Metazoa; Chordata; Mammalia; Primates; Hominidae
Description: HSALNT0305445
Source: RNAcentral
UGUUUGAGAAACAAAUUCUUCAUGAUACUCACUCUUCUGAGGGUAUUUUCUUUUCAUGGCCCAAUCUUGUUUCACCGGUACAUUCGCUGCUUCCUCCCUACCAUAUCAUCAUGGCCAUCACUGUUCUUUUGGAAUGCAGGGCCACUUCAGUCUCCAAGAGAACUGAUUCUUAUGUCGGAAUUCUCUCUAAGCCAAUCUGUUCAGCAUACUUUGACACGAAUGAAUGGCCUCACCAGGGUGGACCAGUUCAGAGAAGGCUGACUAAGGAAGCAAAGAGCCUGGAAAUCAGAACAAGAGAAGAUUUUGCAGGCUUGGGACAAGUGUCUUCAAUGAUUUAAAGGAUAAACCAGAACUUUUCAAAUGAGUAAACAUCAGGUAAACAUGGAAAGAGACAGUCUGGACAGGCUGAGGGGAUGGCACUGAAGACCCUGCAGUUUUCCAACUGGCUAAUCAGACCCCUGGGAAGAAGGAAUGCUUUUCGGGGUACCUGGCCCAGCAAGCAGAGGGUCCUCAAGGAUUUUUGUCUGUCUUGGUUGUCUGUCGUAUCUCGUGUCUAGAACACAGAACUCACAGUAAGUAGGCACUUCAAUCAAUUACCUGUAGAAUGAACGGACUGAAUGUCACCUUGUUAGAGUACCCUCCUGACCACACUCUGCUAAGCAGUAAUCUUUUAUUUCUCUUUCCCAGUUUUAUUUUUCCUCAUUUACACUUAAUCACCUUGUGACACCUAUUUGUUUACUGUUUCCCCAGUAGAGUGAAAGUCACUUUAACAGCAGAGAUUUAAAUGUAUUUUAAUCCCUACAAAGGAGAAAAAGGGAGGAAAUACGUGACAGGCUCUCAAUAAGUAUUUGCGAAGGAUUUAAUCUCUUGAACGAAUGGAUGAAUGAAUCUAGCAGCCAGC